UGCUCACAUUUAUCAUCUGAGGGUUGUUUUGUAGGACAGUGGAAGUCGGAACCCGCUAAGGAGUGUGUAACAACUCACCUGCCGAAUCAACCAGCCCUGAAAAUGGAUGGCACUGGAGCGU
RNAcentral lists this non-coding RNA (121 nucleotides) under Opisthorchis viverrini. RNAcentral's name for it is "Eukaryotic large subunit ribosomal RNA". It matches the Rfam family "Eukaryotic large subunit ribosomal RNA", at positions 1198 to 1336 of the family's 3401-position model. The record is from Rfam by way of RNAcentral. Lineage: Eukaryota; Metazoa; Platyhelminthes; Trematoda; Opisthorchiida; Opisthorchiidae.